Molecule: long non-coding RNA, 179 nt
Organism: Zophobas morio
Lineage: Eukaryota; Metazoa; Arthropoda; Insecta; Coleoptera; Tenebrionidae
Exons: 3
Source: RefSeq, a predicted model, not a curated record
UUUUAAAUAGAAAUGCAGUACCUUCGCAGAAGAGUCAAACGACUGAGACUGAGAACAUUCAAGAUAAUGUGGUACAACCACCAACUGUACCACCAGUUCUUCCGAUCGAACAAACAGUUACAAAUGAAGACUCGAAUCCUUAAUAUGUUGCGUAGCAUUGUUAUUACUACUUGGAUUUG